Molecule: long non-coding RNA, 251 nt
Filed under: Lathyrus oleraceus (garden pea)
Lineage: Eukaryota; Viridiplantae; Streptophyta; Magnoliopsida; Fabales; Fabaceae
Description: Pisum sativum (pea) long non-coding RNA (PSAT_LNC041101)
Source: RNAcentral
GAGCUAGGGUUUCCAGAAAAUUGAAGAGGUAAGGGGGGAAUCCUUGUUAUUAUGGGUUAGUAUGAUCGGGUCAAUGGGUAGAUGUAUGUUAGGUUAAAAUCCUUAAUUUUGUAUGGUUGUUUGAAAUUGUUAGGUUGAUGAGUAUUCUCGAUUUGUGGUGAUUUGAUUGUGUUAGAACUGUAAAUUAAUAUUAUAUACUUAGAGUAUUGUAUGAGUCAUAAUUUUCUGAAUGUUUGGCUUUUUACGGAAUC